UUCACCUAUUUCGUUUUUCGGUUUUUUUUUUUUUUUUUUUUUAUCUGAACGAAAUUUUUGGUUUGUUAUUUGGAUCUGUGGGUUUCUCGGUUGAAUCUAUUGUUUGUUGGAUGUCCCUCACAUCGUCGCUCACAUCCGCAGCAAAUGGCCACCCGUGGAAGCGCACGACCACGCCAGAAGCACACAACAACAAACCAGAAGAUGAAAUUUCAGAAGAUUGAAUUUGUAUAUGAUGCGUUAAAUUUUUUUGUUCGGUGUACUCUCUGUAAAUAAUAAAGAUGUAAAUAUGCAAACAUAGUUUUUAUC
Long non-coding RNA from Carya illinoinensis, 306 nucleotides. RefSeq lists it as uncharacterized. The record is from RefSeq and is a predicted model, not a curated record. NCBI's taxonomy places the organism in Eukaryota, Viridiplantae, Streptophyta, Magnoliopsida, Fagales, Juglandaceae. The transcript has 2 exons.